RNAcentral lists this ribosomal RNA (598 nucleotides) under marine bacterium AG6_003. Its description in RNAcentral is "bacterial SSU rRNA". It matches the Rfam family "Bacterial small subunit ribosomal RNA", at positions 69 to 659 of the family's 1533-position model. The record is from RNAcentral.
ACAGUAAGAGCUUGCUCUUAUGGGUGGCGAGUGGCGGACGGGUGAGGAAUACAUCGGAAUCUACUUUUUCGUGGGGGAUAACGUAGGGAAACUUACGCUAAUACCGCAUACGACCUUCGGGUGAAAGCAGGGGACCUUCGGGCCUUGCGCGAUUGAAUGAGCCGAUGUCGGAUUAGCUAGUUGGCGGGGUAAAGGCCCACCAAGGCGACGAUCCGUAGCUGGUCUGAGAGGAUGAUCAGCCACACUGGAACUGAGACACGGUCCAGACUCCUACGGGAGGCAGCAGUGGGGAAUAUUGGACAAUGGGCGCAAGCCUGAUCCAGCCAUACCGCGUGGGUGAAGAAGGCCUUCGGGUUGUAAAGCCCUUUUGUUGGGAAAGAAAAGCAGCGGGCUAAUACCUUGCUGUUCUGACGGUACCCAAAGAAUAAGCACCGGCUAACUUCGUGCCAGCAGCCGCGGUAAUACGAAGGGUGCAAGCGUUACUCGGAAUUACUGGGCGUAAAGCGUGCGUAGGUGGUUGUUUAAGUCUGUUGUGAAAGCCCUGGGCUCAACCUGGGAACUGCAGUGGAAACUGGAUGACUAGAGUGUGGUAGAGGGU